This is an RNA transcript of Bombus pyrosoma, 766 nucleotides long. RefSeq lists it as uncharacterized. The record is from RefSeq and is a predicted model, not a curated record. The transcript is spliced from 5 exons. Lineage: Eukaryota; Metazoa; Arthropoda; Insecta; Hymenoptera; Apidae.
GUAUAUAGUUUUACGAUUCGAGGUUGUCUUAUAUUCAUAGUGUCGUGUUAUGUGUUUCUAUUAUUUAUUAUCUGUCCACAUCUUACGCGUUUUGGUCGUUUUGUGUGAUGUUUUAUAUUUUCUUUGUGAAUACGGUAUUAAUUCGUAGUAAAUUCUAAUGCGCGGUUGUGCGUGGUAGUUCGAUAUUGUAGAUUGAAUAAAUUAUUCUUAGUAUAUAUUUUAUUUAUUUUAAGUUUGUUCGGUAUUUUAGUGGUUCCUUAUGGUAUUUCAUCCAUUUGAUCGUCUUUAUGUUAUGUUGGUUAUGGACAUGGAAGUACCUGCAUUUGUCCAACCUGUACAACGCAAGAGGAGGAGAGAUUCCAAAAAUGUGUAGGCGGCUCGUGAAGACGAUACAGAUGAAUGUGCGAAGGCUCACUUCCCUGAGGAGACUUCUGUCGGAGUCCUGGAUGUUCUCCUGUGUCACUGUUCUUGUGGUCAGAGCGAUCUUCUCUGCUGUAUGCUCCCAGUACAUGGAGAGACUUCGUGAGAUGUGUCUUGACAUUAUUUUAUUCAUUUGGUUGUGGUGAUUAUGAUUUUAAAUGGUGAAUACAGAGGUGUCCUCGUCAAAGGUUCCUUAUGCAGACUGUCCCACGCAAGAGGAAGACGGGUUCCAAAAUAUGUGAGUGGUCCCAGAAGGUGCAGGCAAGAACGAAGAAUCGUGUGACAUUUGUGUUGAUUAUGUUCGUUGCUGAUAUAUAUAUAUAUAUAUAUAUAUAUAUAUAUAUAU